GAGUCCUUGUUAAAAGCUACCUUUCAAGAGCUAUGAAAUGUUUUCAUACAGCUGUCACUCACCCUAUUCUAAUAAUCCAAGUAUCUACAGCAUUGCUCACAACCGGAUGCUGGAGUGAAUAGUCGUGCUGUACUUCGAUCCGCGGGCUCUUACAAAACCUGGUGGAUAUGUUGUUCAGUAGUGUCAUGGGAACCCCCCUACCAUAUCAGGAGCAGAAGGCUGAGGCAGUACGUGGCCUGGCACCAGUCCCACUUCAGAUGGAGGAAAUGAGAUAUGGUUUGUCAUCACAGGAUGCUUCUGAGGGCAGGACGGCUCACAAUAAUGGCUGGAACGGAGUCAAUAGAAUGGCAUCAAACACAUGGAAACCAUGUUUGAUGUAUUUAAUACCGUUGAGCUAAUUCCGCUCCAGCCAUUACCACAUGCCUGUCCUCUCCAAUUAAGGCGACAGCAACCUCCUGUGUUUGUCAUGGAGUCCACUGAUAAAUAACAGGUUGAUACAGAUGAACAGCAUGAAAUUAUACAAGACGCAUCUAUUACUUUUCAUCAGCUUUAGUUAUUAUUGAAUUGAAUGGUACGGGUAAGAACCUGUGUAUUCUUCAAACAUGUCAGGGAACUGUCUUAUAUGGGACAACGUACGAAGUGAUGACGACUAACAUGUACCCCCACAAAAAUGCUGAUGGGUACAGUAUCUGUAUCAGCUGUGAAUGACAAUAGAAGAUGAAAAACAAGUGUUAUAUUUGCACAUUGCUAUAUCAGCAGAACACUGCUUCAACAGUAUUAUGUGAAGGAUGGUUUAUUCUACAUGGAACUGUUACACUUGAAAGUUAUCAAAACACUUUGUUUAGUUAUCAAAAAACGUUGUUUAGAAUAUCUACAUAAGUUCAGCGAUUGCACUCUUCUCAUAUUACUCUGUAGGCUACUGACCGAUUCAAAGCUUGGUCAUCAGCUAAAGAGUGGUAUGAGAAGAGUGAAAUCUUCCUGUAUCUGACAUCUGCCUGUAUGUAUUGAACUCUGACUGCUGGACCCAUGGGUUGAGGGAAACUCUGACAUAUCCAGGAUGGAGUGUCAUACACUCCACCUCUCCUGCCACCUGACUGCACCUGUCCAAAACUGGUAAUACGUUACAUAGAUGGAAGGGACUUCAUCACCCACUGGAGACUUAAAGACAGAACUUCACCCAGAGAGCUGUUCAUGUCAGUAUGUGGUUAGACAGACAGAACCUUACCCAGAGAGCGGUGCAUGUCAGUGUGUGGUUAGACAGCCAAACCCUUAGAAUAGACCAUAGAAAUAGAAUAGAAUGCCAUGCUAGUUCUGGUACAGCUGAAGCUGUACCAAAGAUUGUUAUGCUCCUUGUUCUAUCUGUGGUUGUACUCUACGCACAACUUAUUUUAUUUGCUGGGUAAAGUGUUGGCAUUCUGUCUUUAUAAACAAAUCAAUAUGAUAGCCUAUUUACAGCAGAAAAUGUUUUGUCUUUGUAACACAAACACGCCCACUGAUUUGUAGUUGAUAAAUAUAUCUACACUCAAGCUGGCCAUGUUUGUUCAAUGUUCACAUAUAGCUUACACCUGUAGGGAUAUUAGUUCUGGGAUUUUUCUCCCAGGAAAGAGCUAACAGCGGACAUAAGGAAAGAUGAGACGAGACAAAACUAACCAG
Molecule: long non-coding RNA, 1653 nt
Filed under: Salmo salar (Atlantic salmon)
Lineage: Eukaryota; Metazoa; Chordata; Actinopteri; Salmoniformes; Salmonidae
Description: lncRNA (ENSSSAG00000094419.1)
Source: RNAcentral